RNAcentral lists this ribosomal RNA (2899 nucleotides) under Escherichia coli. RNAcentral describes it as "23S ribosomal RNA". It matches the Rfam family "Bacterial large subunit ribosomal RNA". The record is from RNAcentral. Lineage: Bacteria; Pseudomonadati; Pseudomonadota; Gammaproteobacteria; Enterobacterales; Enterobacteriaceae.
GGUUAAGCGACUAAGCGUACACGGUGGAUGCCCCGCAGUCAGAGGCGAUGAAGGACGUGCUAAUCUGCGAUAAGCGUCGGUGAGGUGAUAUGAACCGUUAUAACCGGCGAUUUCCGAAUGGGGAAACCCAGUGUGUUUCGACACACUAUCAUUAACUGAAUCCAUAGGUUAAUGAGGCGAACCGGGGAACUGAAACAUCUAAGUACCCCGAGGAAAAGAAAUCAACCGAGAUUCCCCAGUAGCGGCGAGCGAACGGGGAGGAGCCCAGAGCCUGAAUCAGUGUGUGUGUUAGUGGAAGCGUCUGGAAAGGCGCGCGAUACAGGGUGACAGCCCCGUACACAAAAAUGCACAUAUUGUGAGCUCGAUGAGUAGGGCGGGACACGUGGUAUCCUGUCUGAAUAUGGGGGACCAUCCUCCAAGGCUAAAUACUCCUGACUGACCGAUAGUGAACCAGUACCGUGAGGGAAAGGCGAAAAGAACCCCGGCGAGGGGAGUGAAAAAGAACCUGAAACCGUGUACGUACAAGCAGUGGGAGCCUCUUAAUGGGGUGACUGCGUACCUUUUGUAUAAUGGGUCAGCGACUUAUAUUCUGUAGCAAGGUUAACCGAAUAGGGGAGCCGAAGGGAAACCGAGUCUUAACUGGGCGUUAAGUUGCAGGGUAUAGACCCGAAACCCGGUGAUCUAGCCAUGGGCAGGUUGAAGGUUGGGUAACACUAACUGGAGGACCGAACCGACUAAUGUUGAAAAAUUAGCGGAUGACUUGUGGCUGGGGGUGAAAGGCCAAUCAAACCGGGAGAUAGCUGGUUCUCCCCGAAAGCUAUUUAGGUAGCGCCUCGUGAAUUCAUCUCCGGGGGUAGAGCACUGUUUCGGCAAGGGGUCAUCCCGACUUACCAACCCGAUGCAAACUGCGAAUACCGGAGAAUGUUAUCACGGGAGACACACGGCGGGUGCUAACGUCCGUCGUGAAGAGGGAAACAACCCAGACCGCCAGCUAAGGUCCCAAAGUCAUGGUUAAGUGGGAAACGAUGUGGGAAGGCCCAGACAGCCGGGAUGUUGGCUUAGAAGCAGCCAUCAUUUAAAGAAAGCGUAAUAGCUCACUGGUCGAGUCGGCCUGCGCGGAAGAUGUAACGGGGCUAAACCAUGCACCGAAGCUGCGGCAGCGACACUAUGUGUUGUUGGGUAGGGGAGCGUUCUGUAAGCCUGUGAAGGUGGCCUGUGAGGGUUGCUGGAGGUAUCAGAAGUGCGAAUGCUGACAUAAGUAACGAUAAAGCGGGUGAAAAGCCCGCUCGCCGGAAGACCAAGGGUUCCUGUCCAACGUUAAUCGGGGCAGGGUGAGUCGACCCCUAAGGCGAGGCCGAAAGGCGUAGUCGAUGGGAAACAGGUUAAUAUUCCUGUACUUGGUGUUACUGCGAAGGGGGGGGACGGAGAAGGCUAUGUUGGCCGGGCGACGGUUGUCCCGGUUUAAGCGUGUAGGCUGGUUUUCCGUGCAAAUCCGGAAAAUCAAGGCUGAGGCGUGAUGACGAGGCACUACGGUGCUGAAGCGACAAAUGCCCUGCUUCCGGGAAAAGCCUCUAAGCAUCAGGUAACAUCAAAUCGUACCCCAAACCGACACAGGUGGUCAGGUAGAGAAUACCAAGGCGCUUGAGAGAACUCGGGUGAAGGAACUAGGCAAAAUGGUGCCGUAACUUCGGGAGAAGGCACGCUGAUAUGUAGGUGAAGCGACUUGCUCGUGGAGCUGAAAUCAGUCGAAGAUACCAGCUGGCUGCAACUGUUUAUUAAAAACACAGCACUGUGCAAACACGAAAGUGGACGUAUACGGUGUGACGCCUGCCCGGUGCCGGAAGGUUAAUUGAUGGGGUUAGCGGUAACGCGAAGCUCUUGAUCGAAGCCCCGGUAAACGGCGGCCGUAACUAUAACGGUCCUAAGGUAGCGAAAUUCCUUGUCGGGUAAGUUCCGACCUGCACGAAUGGCGUAAUGAUGGCGGGCUGUCUCCACCCGAGACUCAGUGAAAUUGAACUCGCUGUGAAGAUGCAGUGUACCCGCGGCAAGACGGAAAGACCCCGUGAACCUUUACUAUAGCUUGACACUGAACAUUGAGCCUUGAUGUGUAGGAUAGGUGGGAGGCUUUGAAGUGUGGACGCCAGUCUGCAUGGAGCCGACCUUGAAAUACCACCCUUUAAUGUUUGAUGUUCUAACGUGGGCCCCUUACCGGGGUUGCGGACAGUGUCUGGUGGGUAGUUUGACUGGGGCGGUCUCCUCCUAAAGAGUAACGGAGGAGCACGAAGGUUGGCUAAUCCCGGUCGGACAUCAGGAGGUUAGUGCAAUGGCAUAAGCCAGCUUGACUGCGAGCGUGACGGCGCGAGCAGGUGCGAAAGCAGGUCAUAGUGAUCCGGUGGUUCUGAAUGGAAGGGCCAUCGCUCAACGGAUAAAAGGUACUCCGGGGAUAACAGGCUGAUACCGCCCAAGAGUUCAUAUCGACGGCGGUGUUUGGCACCUCGAUGUCGGCUCAUCACAUCCUGGGGCUGAAGUAGGUCCCAAGGGUAUGGCUGUUCGCCAUUUAAAGUGGUACGCGAGCUGGGUUUAGAACGUCGUGAGACAGUUCGGUCCCUAUCUGCCGUGGGCGCUGGAGAACUGAGGGGGCUGCUCCUAGUACGAGAGGACCGGAGUGGACGCAUCACUGGUGUUCGGGUUGUCAUGCCAAUGGCACUGCCCGGUAGCUAAAUGCGGAAGAGAUAAGUGCUGAAAGCAUCUAAGCACGAAACUUGCCCCGAGAUGAGUUCUCCCUGACUCCUUGAGAGUCCUGAAGGAACGUUGAAGACGACGACGUUGAUAGGCCGGGUGUGUAAGCGCAGCGAUGCGUUGAGCUAACCGGUACUAAUGAACCGUGAGGCUUAACCUU